Molecule: ribosomal RNA, 253 nt
Filed under: uncultured bacterium
Lineage: Bacteria
Description: partial 16S ribosomal RNA
Rfam family: Bacterial small subunit ribosomal RNA
Source: RNAcentral
UACGUAGGUGGCGAGCGUUAUCCGGAAUUACUGGGCGUAAAGCGCAAGCAGGCGGUCUGUUAAGUUUGACGUAAAAUCUCCUGGCUUAACUGGGAGGGGUCGUUGGAGACUGGCAGACUUGAGGCGAUGAGAGGGGCAUGGAAUUCCCGGUGUAGUGGUGGAAUGCGUAGAGAUCGGGAGGAACACCAGAGGCGAAAGCGGCCAUCUGGACGGAUUCUGACGCUGAGACGCGAAAGCGUGGGUAGCAAACAGG